RNAcentral lists this long non-coding RNA (212 nucleotides) under Ictidomys tridecemlineatus (thirteen-lined ground squirrel). Its description in RNAcentral is "lncRNA (ENSSTOG00000030369.1)". The record is from RNAcentral. Lineage: Eukaryota; Metazoa; Chordata; Mammalia; Rodentia; Sciuridae.
ACACCAGCACCUGGAAACUGGCCGUGACAGGACAAGGAGAGUGCACCACAAGAACAUCACUUGAAUAAAUGAGAGGAAUCUGCCCAUCAAGAACACCCAUGCAUCUUGCCCACAGCCUACUCUCACUGGACACCCAAGGUUUCUGGGCUGCUCUUCACAAGAAAAAAAAUGUGACUCCAUCACCUCCAGGAAAACUGAAGAGCUGAAGGACC